Molecule: ribosomal RNA, 521 nt
Filed under: uncultured bacterium
Lineage: Bacteria
Description: bacterial SSU rRNA
Rfam family: Bacterial small subunit ribosomal RNA
Source: RNAcentral
GAGAGUUUGAUCAUGGCUCAGAUUGAACGCUGGCGGCAGGCCUAACACAUGCAAGUCGAGCGGUAACAGGACUAGCUUGCUAGUUGCUGACGAGCGGCGGACGGGCGAGUAACGCGUAGGAAUCUACCAAGUAGUGGGGGAUAAGCCAGAGAAAUUUGGUCUAAUACCGCAUACGUUCUUCGGAAGAAAGGAGGGGAUCUUCGGACCUUUCGCUAUUUGAUGAGCCUGCGUGAGAUUAGCUUGUUGGUGAGGUAAGAGCUCACCAAGGCGACGAUCUCUAGCUGGUCUGAGAGGAUGAUCAGCCACACUGGGACUGAGACACGGCCCAGACUCCUACGGGAGGCAGCAGUGGGGAAUAUUGCACAAUGGGCGCAAGCCUGAUGCAGCCAUGCCGCGUGUGUGAAGAAGGCCCUAGGGUUGUAAAGCACUUUCAGCAGUGAGGAAAGGUGUGUGGUUAAUACCCGCAUACUGUGACGUUAACUGCAGAAGAAGCACCGGCUAACUCCGUGCCAGCAGCCGCG